CACACUCAUUCCAAAAAACUCGGGCUCUCGCGACUCGGGUUGUAAGGGGAGAGGGCUCGCCCUAGCUUUCUCUUGCGGACACUUUCCGAGCCCAAACACUCCAACGGGGAAGGGAGGGCAGUGAGGACUUUACAGUAAUUAAAAAAAAUACACUUGCUCAACUCACUCCCUGCUGGCAGAAUCCUCAUGAGUAGUGCAUUUUGUACAAAUUGCUACCCCUAACUUAUAUAUCUUUACUAUCUGUUUAGCAUUUAGAGAAAUUGAUCAAGUUUGGGCCAGUCCCCUUUUGCUGUUCACAGAAAGAAGAUGACAUGGCAGAAAUGAUUGUUUGUACUCUUUGGGGGAGAAGUUUCACAGGGCCAAAUAAAGCAAAGAUGAGAUUCCGAAAGACA
This is a long non-coding RNA of Crotalus tigris (Tiger rattlesnake), 392 nucleotides long. RefSeq lists it as uncharacterized. The record is from RefSeq and is a predicted model, not a curated record. The transcript has 2 exons. NCBI's taxonomy places the organism in Eukaryota, Metazoa, Chordata, Lepidosauria, Squamata, Viperidae.